Molecule: ribosomal RNA, 466 nt
Filed under: uncultured bacterium
Lineage: Bacteria
Description: bacterial SSU rRNA
Rfam family: Bacterial small subunit ribosomal RNA
Source: RNAcentral
AAUGAACGUUGGCGGCGUGGAUUAGGCAUGCAAGUCGUGCGAGAACCGUAGCAAUACGGGGACAGCGGCGUAAGGGAGAGGAAUACGCGGGUACCUACCCUCGGGUCUGGGAUAGCCACGGGAAACUGUGGGUAAUACCAGAUAAUGUCUUCGGACCAAAGGUGUGAUUCCGUCCGAGGAGGGGCCCACGUCCUAUUAGCUAGUUGGUGAGGUAACGGCUCACCAAGGCGAAGAUGGGUAUGGGAUGUGAGAGCAUGAUCCCACUCACUGGGACUGAGACACUGCCCAGACACCUACGGGUGGCUGCAGUCGAGAAUCUUCGGCAAUGGGCGCAAGCCUGACCGAGCGACGCCGCGUGCGAGAUGAAGGCCUUCGGGUUGUAAAUCGCUGUCAGAGGGGAGGAAAUGCCGGUGGGUACUCUCAUCGGUUUGACCUAUCCUCAGAGGAAGGACGGGCUAAGUUCGUG